RNAcentral lists this ribosomal RNA (253 nucleotides) under uncultured bacterium. RNAcentral's name for it is "partial 16S ribosomal RNA". It matches the Rfam family "Bacterial small subunit ribosomal RNA", at positions 524 to 776 of the family's 1533-position model. The record is from RNAcentral.
UACGAAGGGGGCAAGCGUUGUCCGGAUUCAUUGGGCGUAAAGAGCGUGUAGGCGGCCAGGUAGGUCAGCUGUGAAAUCUCGAGGCUCAACUUCGAGCUGUCGGUGGAAACUAUCUGGCUAGAGUCCGGAAGAGGAGAAUGGAAUUCCUGGUGUAGCGGUGAAAUGCGCAGAUAUCAGGAAGAACACCCGUGGCGAAGGCGGUUCUCUGGGACGGUACUGACGCUGAGACGCGAAAGCGUGGGGAGCGAACAGG